ACUGUAGUAUAAGUAUGUCCCAUGCAAUUUUUGGGAUAUACUUAUACUAAAA
Pteropus alecto (black flying fox) is the source of this 52-nucleotide non-coding RNA. Lineage: Eukaryota; Metazoa; Chordata; Mammalia; Chiroptera; Pteropodidae. The record is from Rfam.